CCGACACUAUAUCAGCCUGCCAGAUCUCCAACUAAAGCAGUGCUUUGAUACUAAAGUAAAAGUAACUAAACUAAUUGCCAAAUGUUGUGUACUGACAGGAUCAUCGAGUGUGCGCGCAGUCAGUGUUCUCAGACGAAUCCUUGCAAUAGGAGGAUGCUUCCCAGCCGCAGCAGAAUAUUUCUCACGCAGAUUGACCCCUUCACUCAUCAGCCCGUGUCUCUCAACUGCCCUGAAGAGAAUGAUGAGACCAUGAGCAACGACUUCCUGCCCAGAGUCCUCGUGGAACCAGAUAGCAUGCUCAAGUCCAAAGCCGACCCCAACAAGAUGGACGACGAUCAGACGCCCCGCAGCCACGCACACCCUGCGGUCUACAAACACCCACCACAGCUACCCAGGGGCGUGCCGGGCAGAUUCCCACAGACACCCUUCCCCAGCCAGGCUGCGGCCGACACGAGUGCCCUAGACCAGUA
This is a long non-coding RNA of Clupea harengus (Atlantic herring), 470 nucleotides long. The record is from Ensembl. Lineage: Eukaryota; Metazoa; Chordata; Actinopteri; Clupeiformes; Clupeidae.